This 82-nucleotide transfer RNA is filed under the name Toxocara canis (dog roundworm). It matches the Rfam family "tRNA". Rfam says of the family: Transfer RNA (tRNA) molecules are approximately 80 nucleotides in length. Their secondary structure includes four short double-helical elements and three loops (D, anti-codon, and T loops). Lineage: Eukaryota; Metazoa; Nematoda; Chromadorea; Rhabditida; Toxocaridae. The record is from Rfam by way of RNAcentral.
GGCGAGAUGGCCGAGCGGUCUAAGGCGCUGGUUUUAGGCACCAGUCUCUCCGGAGGCGUGGGUUCGAAUCCCACUCUCGUCA